AAGGUGGCUCCCCUUCCCGUUCGGGUGGCGCUCUGCGGUUGUCGUCACCGGUCUACUAGCUGCUACCGAUCCCUUUUCCCCUUUUCGUUUUGUUUGGUCUAAUUGGUUUCACCUGUUCCUUGUUUGGGGUUUUGGGUUGGGGUUAUUUAAGUUCAGUUAGCCCACCUGUGUUCGUGCGGGCUUGUUUGCUGUUUUUGGUUCAGGAGUGUCCUGUCAUUGAUUUUCCGCUGUACAGCGUAUGUACCGGUGUUAUACAUUUUGGAAUGUUUUACGCCUGUGUUCGGCGUUACCCUCUUUUGUUUGCUGUGAUUGUUGCGGAAUAAAUGUUUUUUCUGAAUCCUCUGCUCUAUGUCCCUGACUCCACAUCCAUCACUCUUCGAAGCCUAACAGAAGUCCGCACCAUCAACUGUGGAGUCAGCAGGAGCAGCAACCACCCCUCUCCCAACGAUGGAGAACCGUGUCCUUCAUCAUACGUCCAUCCUCCAUAGCAUCGGAUCGGCGAUGGAUCAGAUGAUGGAGAAGAUGGACCAGUGGGAGAGGAGUGGUCUCCCUACUUCCCCUCCAACCCCCCCACCUACAACGCUACAACCUCCUCCAGCGGUAUCCGGAAACCAGCGCACUGCGUAUUGCGCCUCCGAGGGAGUACGAUGGAGCGGCGGCGGAGUGCCAGGGAUUCUUGCUCCAACUCAAGCUUUACCUGGCCACCGUUUGGCCGACUCCCUCGAACGAGGAGAGCGUGAGUGUCCUCGUCUCUUGUUUGACGGGUAGAGCCCUGGAGUGGGCCAAUGCCGUCUGGAUCGGGCCCGACUCGGCGAGGGGCCACUACCCGGGUGAGGGAUUGUUCCAUCUCAGGCAGGAGACGAGGAGCGCGCAGGACUUCGCACUGGAGUUCCGGACCUUGGCCGCUGGGGCGGGGUGGAACGACAGGGCCCUAAUAGACCAUUACAGGUGUAGCCUGAGAAAGGACGUCCACAGGGAGCUGGCUUGUCGGGACACCACGCUCAUCCUGGACGAGCUCAUAGACCUGUCAUUCAGGCUGGACAAUCUGCUGGCUGCUCGCGGACGUUCUGAAAGGGUCCUGUCUCUUCCACCUCCUGGCCCUCCCGCUCCCAUACCAAUGGAGUUAGGGGGGGCCGCAUCUAGGGGGACCGGAGGAGGAGGCUCCUCCUGCACCAGCUGUUGCCGGAGAGGACACACUUCCGGUCGGUGCUGGAGGAGUCCAUCUGGGAGUCGAGAGGGCAGGCAGAAUACUUCUCGGUCACCCCAGGACCUGAGCCCUAGGACCAUGCCCCAGGACUACCUGACAUGAUGACUCCUUGCUGUCCCCAGUCCACCUGACCGUGCUGCUGCUCCAGUUUCAACUGUUCUGCCUUAUUAUUAUUCGACCAUGCUGGUCAUUUAUGAACAUUUGAACAUCUUAGCCAUGUUCUGUUAUAAUCUCCAUCCGGCACAGCCAGAAGAGGACUGGCCACCCCACAUAGCCUGGUUCCUCUCUAGGUUUCUUCCUAGAUUUUGGCCUUUCUAGGGAGUUUUACAAAACUUUACAGUUGGCACUAUGCAUUGGAGCAGGUAGCAUUCUCCUGGCAUCCGCCAAACCCAGAUUCAUCCAUCGCACUGCUAGAUGGUGAAGAGUGAUUCAUCACUCCAGAGAACGCGUUUCCACUGUUCCAGAGGCCAAUGGCGGAGAGCUUUACAACACUCCAGCCGACGCUUGGCAUUGCGUAUGAUGAUGUUAGCCUUGUGUGCGGCUGCUCCGCCAUGGAAACCCAUUUCAUGAAGCUCCCGACGAACAGUUCUUGUGCUGAAGUUGCUUCAAGAGGCAGUUUGGAACUCGGUAGUUAGUGUUGCAACCGAGGACAGACAAUUUUUUUUGCCGGCUACGCACUUCAGCACUCAGCGGUCCCAUUCUGUCAGCUGGUGUGGCCUACGACUUUACUGCUGAGCCGAUGUUGCUCCUAGACGUUUCCACUUCACAAUAACAGCACUAACAGUUGACUGGGGCAGCUCUAGCAGGGCAUACAUUUGGCAAACUGACUUGUUGGAAAGGUGGCAUCCAAUGACUUUGAAAUUCACAGGCCAUUCUUCUGCCAAUGUUUGCCAAUUGAGAUUGCAGGUCUGUGUGCCCGAUUUUAUACACCUGUCAGCAAUGGGUGUGGCUGAAAUUGCCAAAUUUCCUAAUUUGAAUGGGGUUCCAUAAACUUUUGUCCAUGUAGUGUAUUACAAGGUACUGUAUGUACUGACAUACACUGAGUGUACAAAACAUUAGGAACACCUGCUCUUUCCAUGACAUAGACUGAUCAGGUGAAAACUAUGAUCCCUUAUUGAUGUCACCUGUUAAUCCACUUUAAUCAGCGUAGCUGAUGGGAGGAGACAGGUGAAAUAAUCAUUUUUAAGCUUUGAGACAAUUGAGACAUGGAUUGUUUAUGUGUGCCAUUCAGGGGGUGAGUGGGCAAGAAAAAAUAUUUAAGCGCUUUUAAAUGGGGUAUGGUAGUAGGUGCCAAGCACACCGGUUUGAGUGUGUCAAGAACUGCAACGCUGCUGGGUUUUUCACGCUCAACAGUUUCCUGUGUGUGAUCCACCACCCAAAGGACAACCAGCCAACUUGACACAACUGUGGGAAGCAUUAGUCCAGAGUCAAAAUGGGCCAGCAUCCCCAUGGAACACUUUUGAAACCUUGCAGAGUUCAUGCCCUGACAAAUUGUGGCUGUUCUGAGGGCAAAAGGUGUUCCUAAUAUUUGGUAUACUCAGUGUAUAUGGAAGUUGUUUAGACCAGGGAGGUUUUCCAAUGCCUUGCAAAGUAGGGCACCUAUAGGUAGAUGGGAUUUUUUUUUUUAAUAGACAUUGAAUAUCCCUUUGAGCAUAGUGAAGUUAUUAAUUACACUUUGGAUGGUGUAUCAAUACACCCAGUCACUACAAAGAUACAGGCAUCCUUCCUAACUCAGUUGCCAGAGGGGAAGGAAACCACUCAGGUAUUUCACAAUGAGGCCAAUGGUGACUUUAAAACAGUCACAGAGUUUAAUGGCGGUGGUGAGAGAAAACUAAGGAUGGGUCAACAACAUUGUAGUUACUCCUCAAUACUAACCUAAUUGACAGAGUGAAAAGAAGAAAGCCUGUACAGAAUAAAAAAUAUUUCCAAACAUACAUCAUUUUUGUAACAAGCCAGUAAAGUCAUACUGAAACAAAAUUGGCAAAGCAAUUCCCUUUUUCUCCUGAAUGCAAAGUGUUAUGUCUGGGGCAAAUCCAGUACAACACAUUACUUAGUACCAGUCUCCAUAUUUUCAAGCAUAGUGGUGGCUGCAUCAUGUUAUGGGUAUGUUUGUAAUCAUUAAGGACUGAGGAGUUUUUCAGGAUAAAAAAUAAACGUAAUGGAGCUAAGAACAGUCAAAAUCCUAGAGGAAAAUAUGGUUCAGUCUGCUUUUCAACAGACACUGGGAGAUGAAUUCACCUUUCAGUAGGACAAUAACCUGAAACACAAGGCUAAAUCUACACUGGAGUUGCUUACCAAGAAGACAGUGAAUGUUUCUGAGUAACCGAGUAACAGUUAUGACUUAAAUCUACUUGAAAAUGUAUGGCAAGACCUGAAAAUGGUUGUCUAGCGAUGAUGAUCAUCAACAAAUUUGACAGAGCUUGAAGAAUAAUUGGAAAAUGUUGCACAAUCCGGUCUGGAAAGCUCUUAGAGACGUACCCAGAAAGACAGCUGUAAUCGCUGCCAAAAGUGCGUCUACAAAGUUUUGACUCAAUGGUGUGAAUACUUAUGUAAAUGGAAUAUUUCCGUAUUUAGUUUUUAAAUACAUUUGCUAAAAUGUAUAAAAACAUGUUUUCUUUUUGUCAUUAUGGGGUACUGUGUGUAGAUGGGUAAAAAAAGCAAACAAUUGGAUCCAUUUUGAAUUCAGGAUGUAACACAACAAAAUGUGGUAUAAGUCAAGGGAUGAAUACUUUCUGAAGGCGCUGUAUGUAUCUCUAGUGUCAUGACGUUGGCCUCUUUGGGUAUAGCAACCCCAUCCCCCUCUCCCUGCCUCCCCCCCUUGCCUCCUUCAACUAGGCUGCUGUGGUCAGAGGUCGUAAAUUCCUGAGAAGAACCUGCCACAUGGCCACAUAGUAGAGAGAGGGUACACUUUCAUAGAGGGCAAAGGAAAUCCUUCCACCUCACAGAACUUGAGGUACAAACACAUUUCAUGUUCCGGAGAAAGUGUAAAAGAUCGGUGAAGAAUCCAGCUACGAACUGGUCCGUUUGUCACAACUUGGGGAAGCUCAUGGGAGACGGUGUGGCCACAUUACCAUAACGCUGUUUAUAUAAUAGCCUCAGAUAUGAGGUUUACAUCUAAUUGUUGUAUAAGAUGAAUGAGUGAGUAUGAUACUGUUUGUAUAAUUGUGUAAUAUGAUUGUGGACUGUUUAAUGAAGAAAAAUACAAUUCCCUUUUGAUUUGAACUAAAUCAGAGGACCGCUCGACAGAAUAAGAACAAGUCUUUGAUACUAAUUACUAGUCUGCAGUUAGGAAUUCGGUAUCAUUCAACGCGAACAACGACAUCAUCCAUUCUAUAACGAAUGUCACUUUGAACUAUCCCCUCUAACCAAGACAGAGAGAGGGAGAGAGACGGACAAUUCUACGAAAGACACAAACUUUUCACCAGCGACCAAGACGACACACUGAGCGUAAAUAUAUGUAUUGAUUGCAAUUGUUCCCGAAUGAAUGAGCGUUCAUGUGUAAAGGAUUCGUAUUUUAAUUGUUGUAAUUAUCACUCUGUAGUGACUUAUUAGUCGACCCCUACUUCCCCUUUUUGUCUAACAAGCCGCCAUGCCGGUUUAGCCCACUAGGGCGCAUUUUCCUAUCAUUACAUUUACCUUGUUUGUUUGUUUGUUUAUGCAUUUCUGUGAAUGACUUAGUAAUAAAUAAAUGAUUUAAGACAAUUGAUGUAUGGAUGACUCAUAGUGAAGACUGGGGUCGUGCAGAUAACCAACAAUUUCGACGUUUGGAAUGAGACUAACGUGAGGUACAG
This is a long non-coding RNA of Oncorhynchus tshawytscha (Chinook salmon), 4998 nucleotides long. The record is from Ensembl. NCBI's taxonomy places the organism in Eukaryota, Metazoa, Chordata, Actinopteri, Salmoniformes, Salmonidae.